GAGCGGCGGACGGGUGAGUAACGCGUGGGUAACCUGCCUCAUACAGGGGGAUAACAGUUAGAAAUGGCUGCUAAUACCGCAUAAGCGCACAGGACCGCAUGGUCUGGUGUGAAAAACUCCGGUGGUAUGGGAUGGACCCGCGUUGGAUUAGCUAGUUGGUGGGGUAACGGCCCACCAAGGCGACGAUCAGUAGCCGACCUGAGAGGGUGAUCGGCCACAUUGGAACUGAGACACGGUCCAAACUCCUACGGGAGGCAGCAGUGGGGAAUAUUGCACAAUGGGCGCAAGCCUGAUGCAGCAACGCCGCGUGAGCGAUGAAGGCCUUCGGGUCGUAAAGCUCUGUCCUCAAGGAAGAUAAUGACGGUACUUGAGGAGGAAGCCCCGGCUAACUACGUGCCAGCAGCCGCGGUAAUACGUAGGGGGCUAGCGUUAUCCGGAUUUACUGGGCGUAAAGGGUGCGUAGGCGGUCUUUCAAGUCAGGAGUUAAAGGCUACGGCUCAACCGUAGUAAGCUCCUGAUACUGUCUGACUUGAGUGCAGGAGAGGAAAGCGGAAUUCCCAGUGUAGCGGUGAAAUGCGUAGAUAUUGGGAGGAACACCAGUAGCGAAGGCGGCUUUCUGGACUGUAACUGACGCUGAGGCACGAAAGCGUGGGGAGCAAACAGGAUUAGAUACCCUGGUAGUCCACGCUGUAAACGAUGAGUACUAGGUGUCGGAGGUUACCCCCUUCGGUGCCGCAGUUAACACAAUAAGUAUUCCACCUGGGGAGUACGACCGCAAGGUUGAAACUCAAAGGAAUUGACGGGGGCCCGCACAAGCAGUGGAUUAUGUGGUUUAAUUCGACGCAACGCGAAGAACCUUACCAAGUCUUGACAUCCCUCUGACCGCACCUUAACCGGUGCUUUCCUUCGGGACAGAGGAGACAGGUGGUGCAUGGUUGUCGUCAGCUCGUGUCGUGAGAUGUUGGGUUAAGUCCCGCAACGAGCGCAACCCCUAUCCUUAGUAGCCAGCAGUUCGGCUGGGCACUCUGAGGAGACUGCCAGGGAUAACCUGGAGGAAGGCGGGGAUGACGUCAAAUCAUCAUGCCCCUUAUGAUUUGGGCUACACACGUGCUACAAUGGCGUAAACAAAGGGAAGCGAGAGGGUGACGUGGAGCAAAUCCCAAAAAUAACGUCCCAGUUCGGACUGUAGUCUGCAACCCGACUACACGAAGCUGGAAUCGAGAGUAAUCGCGGAUCAGAAUGCCGCGGUGAA
Molecule: ribosomal RNA, 1252 nt
Filed under: uncultured bacterium
Lineage: Bacteria
Description: partial 16S ribosomal RNA
Rfam family: Bacterial small subunit ribosomal RNA
Source: RNAcentral